Long non-coding RNA from Astyanax mexicanus (Mexican tetra), 1537 nucleotides. RefSeq lists it as uncharacterized. Lineage: Eukaryota; Metazoa; Chordata; Actinopteri; Characiformes; Acestrorhamphidae. The record is from RefSeq and is a predicted model, not a curated record. The transcript is spliced from 4 exons.
UGAAGAUGGUGUGGCGGUAGUUUGGUGAUGGUUUUCAAAGUAAUGUUUUGCUAAUUUGAUGGUGUUUUUGAAGAUGGUGUGGUGUCCUUUUGAAAUGUGGUGUGGUAGUAGUUUAAUGGUGAUUUUGAAGGUGGAGUGGUAGUAGUUUAAUGGUGAUUUUAAAGGUGGUGUGGUAGUAGUUUAAUGGUGAUUUUGAAGGUGGAGUGGUAGUAGUUUAAUGGUGAUUUUAAAGGUGGUGUGGUAGUAGUUUAAUGGUGAUUUUAAAGGUGGUGUGGUAGUAGUUUAAUGGUGAUUUUGAAGGUGGAGUGGUAGUAGUUUAAUGGUGAUUUUAAAGGUGGUGUGGUAGUAGUUUAAUGGUGAUUUUAAAGGUGGUGUGGUAGUAGUUUAAUGGUGAUUUUAAAGGUGGUGUGGUAGUAGUUUAAUGGUGUUUUUGAAGGUGGCAUGGUGGUAGGUUGAUGGUGUUUUUAAAUGUGGUGUCAUGGUAAUUUGGUGGUGUUUUUAAAGGUGUUUUUUUAAAGGUUUGGUGAUGUUUUUAAAAGUGGUUUGGUAGUAGUUUGGUGGUGUUUGUGACGUUUGUUUGGUUAUAGUGUCGUGAUGUUUUUGAAAGUGGUUUCCUUGACUUUAUGAAGGUGGUUUGUUGGCGUUUAUGAAAGUGUUUUGGUCGUGUUUUGAAAAAAGUUUUCUAGUGGACUUUUGAAGGUGAUAGUUUGAUAUGUUCUUGAUGAAACUUUGUCGAUGUUUUUAAAGGUGGUUGAUGGUAGUGUGAAUGUGAUUUGAUUGUGGUGGUUUAAAAUGGAUGGUGGUGCUUUGAAUUGUUCAAACGGUUUGGUUUGAUCUUGUGGUCUACUCUAAGUUUUGUCCUUUGGUUUAAUGGUUUGUACCGGAGCUGUGAAACAGUGUGAGGCUAUAAAGACUGGUCCUGAUCCCGUGCUUGUAGUCUUCAGAGCUGUCAGUGAGAUUUGUUGUUCUUUGAGCUUUUAAAUUGCACUGAUUGUCUCUUUAAGUGAGAUUUAUGGCCUGGGCUGUGUACGCGUGGAUUCUUUUAUGUUGGUGGAAUGCAGGCCUUCCCCUUGUAGUAAGAUGAUCUGACAACAUUGGUUUGCGAGGUCUUUGUUUAGCUGCCACUUAUCAGUCAUCAUACUUGUGUCUGUGUGUGUCUGGUUUGUUUUUGUAUAUUUUCCCAAGGCAGAAAUGUCCUGACUAUGCAGGAAAACCAGAACAACUCCACAAAACAGGGACUGCCCAACAAGAGCAACGAAAAUAGCCUAGAACUUUCAAAAAUAAAAGGGAAAACAUUUAUUUUGGUAAUUGAGGUUACAAAUAAGAUUAUGUUUAUAAAAAUGACACAAUGGGGCAGUUUCCCAGACAGGGAUUAAGCCUAAUCUUAUACUACAUAGCGUUUUGGACAGAGACACAAAAGUAAGUGAAAAAGAAACAAGACAAUAAAUAAACAUGUUUAUACUUGUAUGCAGUAUAUUCUUGAUUUGGAUUCAUAAAUAAUUUCCACAUAAAAAAAUACAAACACAAUUAUUACCUA